Oreochromis aureus is the source of this 364-nucleotide long non-coding RNA. RefSeq lists it as uncharacterized. The record is from RefSeq and is a predicted model, not a curated record. Lineage: Eukaryota; Metazoa; Chordata; Actinopteri; Cichliformes; Cichlidae. The transcript has 4 exons.
ACAUCAGAUCGUGUUGCAGAAGAAAAAGCGAACAGACGACAGGUGAUACCACGUCUGCUUGCAGGGAGAUGAAAAAAAAAGCUAAUCUGUGGCACAGAGAUGGACAAAGAUGUAAGAAAGACCAGACACAGGACUAAGAUGAGAGAUUAUUUUUAAAGGUGACUCCAGUGGCAGUACGGGGGGAGCUGUUCCUCACUCUAAUCCUCAUGUAGCAACGGCAAGGAUUUCCAAUACUCCAUAAAUUCAGGGCUUAUCUCCAGACAGUGACUAGUAAAUGGGUGGAAGAGAGAGGAAAGAGGAGAAGAGGAGAACAGCAAGUCUCUAGGCAUCAAAUUCCCCACAACAAUCAAUAUGUGGAGCUCAA